UUUGCUUUGUGUUUUCUCAUACAAGGAAGUGAUGGGGGUAGGAGGAGCUAGGCUAAAGAGUUUAUGUUUUAGCUUAUAUGGAAUAAAGAGUCACUGAAGAUUUGUGAGCAGAGAGAGAUGUAAUCAUGUUCAUACAAUUGUGAUGCAUCCAUGUCUACUCAUCUUAUGUGACUCUUGUCCAUGUACUCCUAUGAAACCACCACAGGGGAUACAUACUGUUAGAAGUCUUCCUUACUUUCUCCUGACAUUGAUGGUGUACCAGUGGAGCACUCUGACUGUUCACCUGUCAUCUCUGUCUUGCCAUGUGACCAGUACAUCUUCACUUUCUAUGAGUAUGGUUCUGGAGGAGUACAGAUGGAAAGACAGGCAUUAUAAAAACAAAAGAUCAGUUGAAGAAUGGAUGAGCAAAUUAUGGUAUUUGAUUAUAAUGCGACAGUAUUGUAUUAUAAGAAAUGUUGAAAAGAAUGGUUUUGGAGAAACAAAGAAAAGACUCAUGCAGAAUAAAGGGAGUAGAA
Phascolarctos cinereus (koala) is the source of this 515-nucleotide non-coding RNA. The record is from RefSeq and is a predicted model, not a curated record. NCBI's taxonomy places the organism in Eukaryota, Metazoa, Chordata, Mammalia, Diprotodontia, Phascolarctidae.